This is a long non-coding RNA of Sphaeramia orbicularis (orbiculate cardinalfish), 109 nucleotides long. RefSeq lists it as uncharacterized. The record is from RefSeq and is a predicted model, not a curated record. NCBI's taxonomy places the organism in Eukaryota, Metazoa, Chordata, Actinopteri, Kurtiformes, Apogonidae. The transcript is spliced from 3 exons.
AUUAGUACCUAUUUCUAUUAUUUAAAAAAAACUUAAUUUUCCAUUCCAAAAAAGGUGGGAUGUUGUGUAAAAUGUAAACAAAAACAGAAUGGUAUGUUUUCCAGAACUU